AGCAUUUGUACAACUUUAAGAAUAAAUUCUUUUUUUCUAACAGAUCAGAAUUCCUCUGCUUCUUCUUUUUAGAUGGAUAUAUGUAAAGCAAAAGGAGUAUGGCUUGUCAGUUUUCAUUUUCUGCUAAACUAAAUCAUUAACAUUUCAAGACUUUUGUUUCUCUUAUUUCUUUUUUUUUUUUUUAAUUUAUUUAUUAUUAUUAUACUUUAAGUUGUAGGGUACAUGUGCAUAACAUGCAGGUUUGUUACAUAUGUAUACUUGUGCCAUGUUAGUCUGCUGCACCCAUCAACUCGUCAUUUACAUCAGGUAUAACUCCCAAUGCAAUCCCUCCCCCCUCCCCCCUCCCCAUGAUAGGCCCCAGUGUGUGAUGUUCCCCUUCCUGAGUCCAAGUGAUCUCGUUGUUCAGUUCCCACCUAUGAGUGAGAACAUGCGGUGUUUGGUUUUCUGUUCUUGUUUGCUGAGAAUGAUGGUUUCCAGCUGCAUCCAUGUCCCUACAAAGGACACAAACUCAUCCUUUUUUAUGGCUGCAUAGUAUUCCAUGGUGUAUAUGUGCCACAUUUUCUUAAUCCAGUCUGUCACUGAUGGACAUUUGGGUUGAUUCUAAGUCUUUGCUAUUGUGAAGAGUGCCGCAAUAAACAUACGUGUGCAUGUGUCUUUAUAGCAGCAUGAUUUAUAAUCCUUUGGGUAUAUACCCAGUAAUGGGAUGGCUGGGUCAUAUGGUACAUCUAGUUCUAGAUCCUUGAGAAAUCGCCAUACUGUUUUCCAUAAUGGUUGAACUAGUUUACAAUCCCACCAACAGUGUAAAAGUGUUCCUAUUUCUCCACAUCCUCUCCAGCACCUGUUGUUUCCUAACUUUUUAAUGAUCGCCAUUCUAACUGGUGUGAGAUGGUAUCUCAUUGUGGUUUUGAUUUGCAUUUCUCUGAUGGCCAGUGAUGAUGAGCAUUUUUUCAUGUGUCUGUUGGCUGUAUGAAUGUCUUCUUUUGAGAAAUGUCUGUUCAUAUCCUUUGCCCACUUUUUGAUGGGGUUGUUUGUUUUUUUCUUGUAAAUUUGUUUGAGUUCUUUGUAGGUUCUGGAUAUUAGCCCUUUGUCAGUUGAGUAGAUUGCAAAAAUUUUCUCCCAUUCUGUAGGUUGCCUGUUCACUCUGAUGGUAGUUGCUUUUGCUGUGCAGAAGCUCUUUAGUUUAAUGAGAUCCCAUUUGUCAAUUUUGGCUUUUGCUGCCGUUGCUUUUGGUGUUUUAGACAUGAAGUCUUUGCCCAUGCCUAUGUCCUGAAUGGUACUACCUAGGUUUUCCUCUAGGGUUUUUAUGGUAUUAGGUCUAACAUUUAAGUCUCUAAUCCAUCUUGAAUUAAUUUUCGUAUAAGGAGUAAGGAAAGGAUAUCAAGGGUAUUCAGUUAGGAAGACAGGAAAGUCUUUAAACUUAACUGCUCAGCUCCUUCUAGUCAU
Molecule: long non-coding RNA, 1443 nt
Filed under: Papio anubis (olive baboon)
Lineage: Eukaryota; Metazoa; Chordata; Mammalia; Primates; Cercopithecidae
Description: lncRNA (ENSPANG00000040784.1)
Source: RNAcentral